Molecule: ribosomal RNA, 638 nt
Filed under: uncultured Sebacina
Lineage: Eukaryota; Fungi; Basidiomycota; Agaricomycetes; Sebacinales; Sebacinaceae
Description: eukaryotic LSU rRNA
Rfam family: 5.8S ribosomal RNA (bases 227-380)
Source: RNAcentral
AGAGGAAGUAAAAGUCGUAACAAGGUUUCCGUAGGUGAACCUGCGGAAGGAUCAUUAAUGAUUGCGAAUGGUUGCCUUCGGUGCUGGCUCUUGCAAGUGCACGUUGGUGGCUUUCAUCCAAUACCCUUUGUGAACCUUUGGCCUCUUGCUAGCUUCGGCUGGCAGAGGAUUUUUACACACACUCGAAUGUAAUGAAAACUAUUGUCGUGCGCAAGCACUAAUGUACAACUUUCAACAACGGAUCUCUUGGCUCUCGCAUCGAUGAAGAACGCAGCGAAAUGCGAUAAGUAAUGUGAAUUGCAGAAUUCAGUGAAUCAUCGAAUCUUUGAACGCACCUUGCACCCUUUGGCAUUCCGAAGGGUAUGCUCGUUUGAGUGUCAUUGUACUCUCACACUUUCCGAUCCUAUGGAUUCGGGGAGCGGUGGACUUGGGUGUUGCUGCUUUCCUUGUGGCUCACCUCAAAUGCGUCAGUGCACCUCUUGGUUGGACAUAGUACGGCGUGAUAAGUGUCUUCGCCGGCACCUCGCAAGAGGGUGGCCGAUCGGGAGCUCUGUGCUUUCAAACCGUCUUCGGACAAUUUCUGACAACUUGACCUCAAAUCGAGUAGGACUACCCGCUGAACUUAAGCAUAUCAAUAA